Molecule: long non-coding RNA, 936 nt
Organism: Meriones unguiculatus (Mongolian gerbil)
Lineage: Eukaryota; Metazoa; Chordata; Mammalia; Rodentia; Muridae
Exons: 3
Source: RefSeq, a predicted model, not a curated record
AUCUGACAUUUUUGGAUUUGGUGCAUAAUUAAUUUGACAACCUGGGCCAAGCCUUUGAGUUGCCCUGGAAACCGAUUUCGGUAACAUAAAGAAGUGCUAGCUGUUAAUUGGUAUUCAGAGUUAGUAGCUGGUGUCUUUGCUUCUGUCUCCAUGGUAACCUGGCCAUCACGUUUUCAUCCCUAACACAGAGAAAUUUGACUUUGGAAGAAAGAAUCUCUUAAAGCAUUUGACAGCUUUACUAUGCCCUUCGCUCCGUGGAAAGGUCUGUGUGGCCCAGAACUGAGGUCUCCAGCCAACAGUCAUGUCAUUUUGGUUCAGACCUAUCCCAUGCUUCCAUAUGAGAUGCUGGAGAAAACAGACCAAAUGAAGAAAAACUUAAAAUGUGAUGAUUUGGAUAUGAAGUGCUCCUGAGCGCUUAUGUUGAAGCCUUGGCCUCCAGCAAGUACUGUUAUUAAAAGGUGGUUGGAUCUAUUUGGUAGAGGUGGUUGGACACUAUUAAGAGGGAACUGCCUUUCUUAAUGGAUUAAUCUUUUCAUGAGCUCAUAAUGAAUGGCUGUUAAAAAGAAGAAGGUCCAUGGAGGUGAAUGUUUGAAAGCUAUGUCUUGCCAGAUCCCCUUUUCUUUGCCUCUUUUUGCUCCUGGCAGCCAUGAAGUGAGAAUUGUUAUUCUACUAUCCUCUCUGAGAGAGGAAAGCCAAGUGGCCAUGAGCUGAGAUCCCCGGAACCAGGAGUCGAAAUGCAUCUUUCCUCCAUGAAAUUGUUUCUAUCAGUUAUUCCAUCACAGCAACGAAACACUGACUAUCAAGAAUGGAGUAUCUAUCACACCUUAUCCUUCAGUUCAUGUGAUGUAUUUCAAAGACAAAGAUUCUGGAAUCUUUAUAAAAAUGUUGGAGGCAUAAUUUUUUUUAACUUUCAAACUUAUUUUCCCAUGUAAAAUG